Molecule: ribosomal RNA, 254 nt
Filed under: uncultured bacterium
Lineage: Bacteria
Description: partial 16S ribosomal RNA
Rfam family: Bacterial small subunit ribosomal RNA
Source: RNAcentral
UACGAAGGGGGCUAGCGUUGCUCGGAAUCACUGGGCGUAAAGCGCACGUAGGCGGAUAUUUAAGUCGGUGGUGAAAUCCUGGAGCUCAACUCCAGAACUGCCUCCGAUACUGAAUGUCUUCGAGUCCGGGAGAGGUGAGUGGAACUGCGAGUGUAGAGGUGAAAUUCGUAGAUAUUCGCAAGAACACCAGUGGCGAAGGCGGCUCACUGGCCCGGUAUUGACGCUGAGGUGCGAAAGCGUGGGGAGCAAACAGG